Long non-coding RNA from Salvia miltiorrhiza (redroot sage), 777 nucleotides. RefSeq lists it as uncharacterized. The record is from RefSeq and is a predicted model, not a curated record. The transcript is spliced from 3 exons. Lineage: Eukaryota; Viridiplantae; Streptophyta; Magnoliopsida; Lamiales; Lamiaceae.
AUGAUGAUCUGGAUCAGGUCAAACUCUUAAUACCGUUGUUGAAGCUUUUAACAUUUGGUUGUGGUCAGGUUGUUGAAUGUGGUUGUUGCUAUCAACAUGAUGCAAGAUGAAAUAAUCAAGAUUACUACCGAUGAUUUGUUACAAGCUGCACAAAUAGAAGUAAGAUGGAUGCUAGAUAGAAGAGAGAGAAGCCCUGAGAUUUAGAAGCAAGUAGCUAUAAAUGAAGCCGCAAUGGCUAUAGUUGCUGUCAAUUUUCCAGAUCACUAAAUUUAAGGAAGGAAUGUUGAGCCGGCAGUCUCUCUUGGAUCACAUCACUGUUCAACUUGCACCGCGUGCAGCGGAUGAGCUCUAGUAUGGGAAAGAUCAGGUUUUUCUAAUUUUUUGCCAUAAUGCCUAAGAAGUGUGGCAACGUUGUUCAUUUGUGUGAUGAAAACUGAUGUAAAGCAUUGUAGAGUUGAUUUUGUCUCUCACCGAACUAUAUUAAUUCCGUGGACUGUAGAGAGUUGGUAAAAAUCAUGAUUUUUUCUUGUGAAAUUUAUACAGGUAUGCCUUUGGGACUACUUCAAUAAGAAGAAGCAAACUAUAUUAAUUCCAUGGAGAAGAUGGUGCUAUUCUUGUCCCUGGUGGUGUAGUUAGUAUAAAAUUGGGCGAUAUUAAGAAUCUAGUGCUUAUAUGGUGGGAGAAUUGUUAGACAUAAAUGUAUGUGAUAUUUAUGAAUAUUUGGAUAACAAUGUAUGAAUAUUUUGAAUGUUAUAUAAUACAUGUUAUCGAUGGCAA